UACGUAGGGUGCGAGCGUUGUCCGGAAUUAUUGGGCGUAAAGAGCUCGUAGGCGGCCUGUCGCGUCGGAUGUGAAAGCCCGGGGCUUAACCCCGGGUCUGCAUUCGAUACGGGCAGGCUAGAGUGUGGUAGGGGAGAUCGGAAUUCCUGGUGUAGCGGUGAAAUGCGCAGAUAUCAGGAGGAACACCGGUGGCGAAGGCGGAUCUCUGGGCAAUAACUGACGCUGAGGAGCGAAAGCGUGGGGAGCGAACAGG
RNAcentral lists this ribosomal RNA (253 nucleotides) under uncultured bacterium. RNAcentral's name for it is "partial 16S ribosomal RNA". It matches the Rfam family "Bacterial small subunit ribosomal RNA", at positions 524 to 776 of the family's 1533-position model. The record is from RNAcentral.